AAAUAAUAAAGAAACAAUGGUCAGAUUCCUCCAUCGUAAAGUCCAAACUACACCAAAACAAAUGUAGACUGCAGUCUGUACAAAAAAGGGGUCAAAGGAGCCACAAAAUUUACAUUACAAUGUACAGUCAGCCAGUCAUUAUCAUAAAAUACCCUGACAAGAAGCAGGGGGAUCGUUUGAUGACAAGUUGACUAAUCAUAUGGGUACAAUCUUAAAUAUAAAAGUUACAAAGUGAGGGAUGGGGGUUGCAGCGAUGCCAUAGAAGAACCUUUUGGGGUUUCCCAAAGAACUUAAUUUAAAAAAAAAAAAAAAACAUUCUUUUCUUAUUGUGAAGAACAUAGAACAUUUUAAUAAUCUAAAGAACCUUUUCCCACUGUGUUUCCCACGUUGAUACAUAUAAAUAGAUCAUCAGAGAAUGAGAAAAGAUAAAUAAUCCAGUAGAAAAUUACCAAGUGACCCACAUAAACAAAUAUUACAAAAAUAAUUUAUAUACAAUUAUUUUUCUGCAACUCAAUUUCCUUUUUAUAUAGCUUACAUAGCCACAAUAUAACAUAUCUCCGUUUGUCUUUUACCGAUUGAGAAUAAAAAUUAGUUUUUAAUAAAAAUAAAAAGAAAGAAUAAGAAUAAAUAUAAAGCUGCAUCUGAUUAUGCUAUGUUAGCCACUUGACAAAAUAGUGUUUUUCUCUGAGGCAUGGUGAAAACAUGCAGUCACUGAAAUUCAAGAAAAGGAGAUUCAAACAAUAAGACUAAACGUGUUGAGCUAUAUAACAAUAAUUAGUUUUCUGUCUAUAAAUGUAAACAAACAGUUGUUCCCUUAUCUAAUAAAACAUGUAAUAUAUUAAAGUGUCUUGGGGUGUGUCUCAAUCAGCUCCCUAGCUUGUGAAUCAGUAUAUCGUCUACACAAAUUCAGGCACUGCUAAGGACAGUAAAGGAUGCUGGUUCACUACACAUUGGGACACUUAUGACUCUAUUUCCGGCGACGUGGCAACAUCCUCAUUGUACAACAUCACUACUGGUAUUAUAAACAACAGCAGAGCUGAUAUCUUUCUGACAUUAUUUGUAAUGUUAUUUAAAGUACGUUAUGAUAAAUUCUUUGCUUGUUACAUAUACAUGCAACAUUUCAGCUGUAAAUAAAUUAUAAAUAUUAGCUAAAUUAUGUUCAUUACCUGUCUAGUGAUGUAUGUUUAGGCUGAAAUAUAAUAAAAUAAUGGUUUGUAUUUUUAAAAACAUCUAUCGCGCGUCGUUAUGUGUAGUGAGAUGGCUCACGUGAUUUAAGUUUCGCACUUCCGUUUAGGGAGCAUAGUGAGCAUCGAUGCUCCCUGGUUUUCACGGUGCAUUGUGGGAUUUUGUAGGGAGCAAACGUUUCAGUGCCCUGGAAGGAUUCUGUGAUUGAGACAGCCCUUAAAAUGGCUGACUCCCUGAUCAGUCCCCUGACUACUGAACUAGGGAGCUGAUUGAGACACACCCUUGGUGUUUCCAUGGCUUCUACAAAAUAAAACCGGAAAUCGAGGGUAUGACGUCACUGAUAGGCAAGGCACGGACAAGGUCUGUGUCCUGGUUAAAACUGUUUAUUUCUCUGGAUUUAAACAUUCAUGGAAACAUCUGAGAUAAUUCUGUUACGCAGUUGACGCAGUGUAUGCAGUUGACGCAGUGAACGCAGUGUAGAGCUUCCGUGUUUACGUCCAAACGCUGGCUCAGUAUUGGGCGACGCUGUUCAUGUGAGCACCACAACGCAUGCGUGUGAUGCUGACGCAGGAGCUGGCCAAUACAAGGCUUGUUCGAGAUGCAUCGACACUGCGCAGACUGACCGCCGUAUGACAUCAAAGUACCAUGAGAGCGUCACAACCUUCAUAAUAUUAAGGUUGAACCACUGUAGUCAUGUUGACUAUUUUAAAAAUGUCUUUACUACUUCUUUGGACCUUGAAUGUGGUAAUUUCGUUGUUUUCUAUGGGAGAUAAAAAACCUCUCGGAUUUCAUCAAAAGUAUCUUAAUUUGUGUUCUGAAGAUGAAUGAAGGUCUUGCGGGUUUGGAACGACAUGAGG
This is a long non-coding RNA of Ctenopharyngodon idella (grass carp), 2042 nucleotides long. RefSeq lists it as uncharacterized. The record is from RefSeq and is a predicted model, not a curated record. Lineage: Eukaryota; Metazoa; Chordata; Actinopteri; Cypriniformes; Xenocyprididae. The transcript is spliced from 2 exons.